RNAcentral lists this ribosomal RNA (492 nucleotides) under Rhodopirellula baltica. Its description in RNAcentral is "bacterial SSU rRNA". It matches the Rfam family "Bacterial small subunit ribosomal RNA", at positions 1051 to 1533 of the family's 1533-position model. Lineage: Bacteria; Pseudomonadati; Planctomycetota; Planctomycetia; Pirellulales; Pirellulaceae. The record is from RNAcentral.
GUCGUCAGCUCGUGUCGUGAGAUGUCGGGUUAAGUCCCUUAACGAGCGAAACCCUUAUCUUUAGUUGCCAGCGGGUAAUGCCGGGGACUCUAAAGAGACUGCCGGUGUCAAACCGGAGGAAGGUGGGGAUGACGUCAAGUCCUCAUGGCCUUUAUGUCUAGGGCUGCACACGUCCUACAAUGGCACGGACAAACGGACGCAAUACCGCGAGGUGGAGCAAAUCCUAGAAACCGUGCCUCAGUUCGGAUUGCAGGCUGCAACUCGCCUGCAUGAAGCCGGAAUCGCUAGUAAUCGUAGGUCAGCAUACUACGGUGAAUGUGUUCCUGAGCCUUGUACACACCGCCCGUCAAGCCACGAAAGUUGGGAGGGCCCGAAGUCACCAAGCUAACCCGCAAGGGAGGCAGGUGCCGAAGGUCAGCUCGACAAUUGGGACUAAGUCGUAACAAGGUAGCCGUAGGGGAACCUGCGGCUGGAUCACCUCCUUUCUAAGGA